RNAcentral lists this ribosomal RNA (484 nucleotides) under uncultured bacterium. RNAcentral describes it as "partial 16S ribosomal RNA". It matches the Rfam family "Bacterial small subunit ribosomal RNA", at positions 30 to 507 of the family's 1533-position model. The record is from RNAcentral.
AUUGAACGCUGGCGGCAGGCCUAACACAUGCAAGUCGAGCGGAUGAAGGGAGCUUGCUCCUGGAUUCAGCGGCGGACGGGUGUGUAAUGCCUAGGAAUCUGCCUGGUAGUGGGGGAUAACGUCCGGAAACGGGCGCUAGUACCGCAUACGUCCUGCGGGAGAAAGUGGGGGAUCGUCGGACCUCACGCUAUCAUAUGAGCCUAGGUCGGAUUAGCUAGUUGGUGGGGUGAAGGCCUACCAAGCCGACGAUUCGUAGCUGGUCUGAGAGGAUGAUCAGUCACACUGGAAGUGAGACACGGUCCAGACUCCUACGGUAGGCAGCAGUGGGGAAUAGUGGACAAAGGGCGAAAGCCUGAUCCAGCCAGGCCGCGUGUGUGACGAAGGUCUUCCGAUUGUAAAGCACUCUAAGUUGGGAGGAAGCGCAGUAAGUUAUUACCUUGCGGUUUUGACGUUAACAACAGAAUAAGCACCGGCUAACUUCGUG